GUUUUAAUAAUUUAAUUUAAAAAUCUUGGUCUUGUAAACCAAAUAUAAGAAUCAAUCUUUUAAAACA
This 67-nucleotide transfer RNA is filed under the name Bruchidius siliquastri. Its description in RNAcentral is "tRNA-Thr". It matches the Rfam family "tRNA". Rfam says of the family: Transfer RNA (tRNA) molecules are approximately 80 nucleotides in length. Their secondary structure includes four short double-helical elements and three loops (D, anti-codon, and T loops). The record is from RNAcentral. Lineage: Eukaryota; Metazoa; Arthropoda; Insecta; Coleoptera; Chrysomelidae.